RNAcentral lists this transfer RNA (73 nucleotides) under Camelus bactrianus (Bactrian camel). It matches the Rfam family "tRNA". From Rfam's summary of the family: Transfer RNA (tRNA) molecules are approximately 80 nucleotides in length. Their secondary structure includes four short double-helical elements and three loops (D, anti-codon, and T loops). Further hydrogen bonds mediate the characteristic L-shaped molecular structure. tRNAs have two regions of fundamental functional importance: the anti-codon, which is responsible for specific mRNA codon recognition, and the 3' end, to which the tRNAs corresponding amino acid is attached (by aminoacyl-tRNA synthetases). tRNAs cope with the degeneracy of the genetic code in two manners: having more than one tRNA (with a specific anti-codon) for a particular amino acid; and 'wobble' base-pairing, i.e. permitting non-standard base-pairing at the 3rd anti-codon position. RNAcentral also lists the same sequence under 1 other name. The record is from Rfam by way of RNAcentral. Lineage: Eukaryota; Metazoa; Chordata; Mammalia; Artiodactyla; Camelidae.
GUAGGUACAGCUCAACUGGUAGAGUGCAUGCUCAGCAUGCAUGAGGCCCUGAGUUCAAUCCCCAGUACCUCCA